Ipomoea nil (Japanese morning glory) is the source of this 1369-nucleotide long non-coding RNA. RefSeq lists it as uncharacterized. NCBI's taxonomy places the organism in Eukaryota, Viridiplantae, Streptophyta, Magnoliopsida, Solanales, Convolvulaceae. The record is from RefSeq and is a predicted model, not a curated record. The transcript is spliced from 4 exons.
GACUCAACCCAAACUCCCUCCCCCAUUUUCGCGUCGGCUUCCUCGCUCUGCUGCCCAAAAACCCUCGUCCCCUCGACAGGAAUAGAAUCCAAGCCAAAUCAUUCAGAACAAACCUCAUUCCAAGCUACGUUAGAUUCCGGCGUUGGUGCUGCGGUUCCUCGUCGUGCGGAAACCAACAAUGAAGAGACGGAAAACCUCAACUUUCCCGCAGUGCGUUUGGCGGUGUAGAUUUGCAGUCAGCGAAACAUUCUGGUAGCGGCAGACCUUGCAGGAUGGAGGAAUGGCAGUAUUACUUUUUGAUUCCGGUUUUCCAGGCAUAGUUAAUGUACUUGAGGCCGCAAACAAUCUCGAUACGAAGAAGUCUCAUACUCUAGAUCCAUAGUUGGUGCAACCUUGGAGCUCAUAUGAAGAAGAGAGCUGAAUGAAGGAAGCCUUACUCUAGAUCCAUAGUUGGUGCAACCUUGGAGGUCAUCCAGAAGGACGUAGCUGAAAAACCAGAAGCCAGGGGUGCUGCUAGGGAGGCUGCACUCAGGAUCUUUGAGCAGUAGAUCCCUACUUUGGGAAUUAGGCAAUUCUGAACAGUGAAUUGCAAGUAAUGAGGAAUGUAGAUGUCCUCAAUGAGGAAUGCAGGUUUGUAAAGAAAACAUUACCUCAAUGGCGUAAAGGACACAUUCUUGACUCUUAUUCAGAUUUGUAAAGAAAACAUUACCACAAUGGCGUAAAGGACACAUUCUUGACUCUUAUUCAGAUUUGUAAAGAAAACAUUACCUCAAUGGCGUAAAGGACACAUUCUUGACUCUUUAUGGCAGGCACAAUACAUGUUUUUAACCUAAUAGCUUUCUUAUAUGUAGUUGGGCAGAUGUCUUUUCGAAAGAUGCAUAGUGGAGCCAUUUUUUGGUUAUCAGAUGGAUGGCAUAAUCUAAGCUGAGAAGAACAAACACGCUGAGGAUUAAUGCAAAGUGUGAAUUGUUUGUGUAUAGAAGGAUUUAUAGAAGAGGUUGAAGGCUCUAGAGUUCCAAAAAUAAUCAGCUUCCAAGGAUUUAGAGUUCCAAGCAGCACUGGAUACUGAAACGUCCGCCAAACGGUGGCCAGCAAAUUUAAAAUUAUGUGGAACAACUUCCCACAAAAUGGGGAAACCAAAAAGGUGGCUGAGCAUAAAUGUAGUGUUUUUAUGUAUUUAAUUAAUAAUAAUACAAAAUUAAUAAAUAAUCUUUGACUGUAAUCUUCUAUCUUCUAAUGCCAAAACGGCGUAGUAUAGUUUGAGCGGGAAAAUGAAGCCAUUUCAUUGGCCGAAAUCUUAUGGCUUUAAUAUAUAGGAAGAUAUUGUUCAAAAUUCAUCUAUCUUGUUAUUUCAUCUAUCUUCUUCCAA